GACGAACGCUGGCGGCGUGCUUAACACAUGCAAGUCGAACGGAAAGGCCCUGCUUUUGUGGGGUGCUCGAGUGGCGAAGGGGUGAGUAACACGUGAGUAACCUGCCCUUGACUUUGGGAUAACUUCGGGAAACUGGGUCUAAUACCGGAUAGGAGUGCCUGCGGCAUGGUGGGGGUUGGAAAGUUUCGGCGGUUGGGGAUGGACGCGCGGUUUAUGAGCUGGUUGGUGGGGUUGUGGCUUACCAAGGUUUUGAGGGGGAGCCGGCCUGAGAGGGUGGCCGGCUAGAGUGGGACUGAGAGCCGGCACACAUACCUACGGGAGGAAGGGGGGGGAAUUCAUGAAGAACGGGCGGCAGCUGGAGCCAGCACCGCCGGGUGCGGGAGGACGGCGUUCGGGUUGUAACCCGCUUUCGCGUGUGACGAAGCGUGGGUGAGGGUAAUGGAUAAAGAAGCACCGGCUAAUUACGG
Molecule: ribosomal RNA, 467 nt
Filed under: uncultured bacterium
Lineage: Bacteria
Description: partial 16S ribosomal RNA
Rfam family: Bacterial small subunit ribosomal RNA
Source: RNAcentral